Molecule: non-coding RNA, 497 nt
Organism: Chrysemys picta bellii (western painted turtle)
Lineage: Eukaryota; Metazoa; Chordata; Testudines; Emydidae
Source: the annotation of a RefSeq genome assembly
AGCAAAGAGCUGCCUGUGUAUUUAAGGCAUCACCUCCCUGAGUAAAACCUCUCCCUCCCAGCUCCUCCGCACAGCUGGGGAAGGCGAGGAAGCAACUUCGUUCCUGGCUUUGGGACGAAAAUUCUAUCCCACUUUAGCCCUGAAAUAUGUUCCUCCCCUGGGCGUCUGUUCUUACACUACUUCCGAUUCUGGAAGGGGCUAAUGGAGAGUCAGUGACACAACCUGAUGACCGAGUGACUGUAUCCCAAGGGGAACCAGUGCUGCUGAGAUGCACCUAUAAUACCACCCUGAUUCCCACACUCUGGUGGUACGAGCAGCGCCCAAAUGAAGCCCCUCGCCUCUUGCUGACACAAUAUGAAGCGUCCGAUGAGGAGGCGAGAAGGAGCCGGCGGGGGUUCUCCGCCACACCCGACAAACAGGGGAAGACCUUCCACCUGAAGAAAAGCUCCAGUGAACUGCGCGACUCCGCCGUCUAUUACUGCGCCAUGAGCGACACA